GGAUUAGCAGGGAAUGAAGCCCCUGUUGAGCUUGACUCUAGUCUAGCAUGGUGAAGAGACAUGAGAACAGUGCAAUAAGUAGAAGACCUCUGAUGCUCUCUGGUUCCCUGGGAGGGGUCAGGGUGAGCUCCACCAGCCUCACAGACUACAGUGAAAUGCUACUUCUCAUCAUUUUCCACUGACCCAGGGAGACAGGGGUGGCUUGAGCCAUGAGUGGUUCUCACUUCUGGCACCAAGUGUCUGUCACACAUAUUGUAUGCUAUGGCCCAUUCUGGGAACAGUGCCAUGUUCAUCGUUUGACUGGGGAGUUACACUUGUCAAACAGUAAUGCAGGUGUCCUACAGCGAACUCACAGAUGACGGAAACUAUCCUUAAAGGUUGCUUUACCAUGAUUUUCAUUACACAUACAAACCAUGAAAGCAGGGCAUGAAGAUCCUUCUGAAUUUCUGGUUUUUAAGUAGGAAUUGUCAGAAAAGUUACCACAGGAAUAACUGCCUUCUGGAAGAUAAGUGUUCAUAGUAACAGUUUUAUUGACCCUGCAAUGUCUGCUGUCCUUGUGAUUUUGAAGCAGAAUUCACCUAGGGUUGGAUUGUUGACCCAGUAAUAGGGAAUGUGAGCUGGAUUAGAACAUCAUGAGACAGAUUCGUUUUACCUACUGAUUAUGUGCUUUUUGCCUUUGAAUCCUGCUCAGUAUGAGAGGAACAAUAUGUUCAGACAUUUGGAGUGUAUACUCCACUGAGAAGACAAUGAGCAAGACUACCACUCGUAGAAUUAUGACUUAAGGCCCCUAAGUUGAAAUUCCACCGAUGCAGGGCUGUAAAAUGGAGCCAAAGACCCUCAGUUAGCCCUGGAUAGCCAGGUCUGGUCUAUACCUGCUGGAGGUGCCAUCGCAUUCCCACAAGGUGGUGGGUCCCUGUUGUGUUGGGGCACAGGUGUCCAGUGUGGAAAGACACUCAUCCUCUGAAACAUCGUGUGCUAAUGCAUGUGUGUGUAGAAUCUGGAGCUAAAUCAUUCCAAGAUGACCUGCUUCUGUGACAGGGAUUCAUAUAUAGCAGAACGGUUCACUUACUUUGUCUCUUGAAAGUCAUCCCUCAACACAAGGUUU
This 1105-nucleotide non-coding RNA is filed under the name Rattus norvegicus (Norway rat). Its description in RNAcentral is "Eukaryotic large subunit ribosomal RNA". It matches the Rfam family "Eukaryotic large subunit ribosomal RNA", at positions 2391 to 3399 of the family's 3401-position model. Lineage: Eukaryota; Metazoa; Chordata; Mammalia; Rodentia; Muridae. The record is from Rfam by way of RNAcentral.